AGAUAUGAUCCAGAGUACCACGGGACACGUGAAACCCUGUGGGAAGCAGGAGGGACCACCCUCCAAGGCUAAAUACUACCUAGUGACCGAUAGCGUAUAGUACCGUGAGGGAAAGGUGAAAAGAACCCCGGGAGGGGAGUGAAAUAGAACCUGAAACCCUGCACUUACAAGCUGUGGAAGCACAUUUCUUGUGUGACCGCGUACUUUUUGUAGAACGGGCCAACGAGUUACGUUAAGUAGCAAGGUUAAGCACUUAAGGUGCGGAGCCGUAGCGAAAGCGAGUUUUAACUGAGCGUUCAGUUACUUGACGUAGACCCGAAACCGGGCGACCUACCCAUGAGCAGGAUGAAGCGAAAGUAAAAUUUCGUGGAGGUCCGAACCCACGAGCGUUGAAAAGCUCGGGGAUGACUUGUGGGUAGCGGUGAAAUUCCAAUCGAGCCCGGAGAUAGCUGGUUCUCCCCGAAAUAGCUUUAGGGCUAGCCUCAAGGUGAGAGAUACGGAGGUAGAGCACUGAAUGUCCUAGGGGGUAUUGCACCUACCGAAGACUAUCAAACUCCGAAUGCCGUCAUCUUAUACUUGGGAGUCAGACUGUGGGUGAUAAGAUUCAUAGUCGAAAGGGCAACAGCCCAGAUCGUCAGCUAAGGUCCCUAAAUGUAAGUUAAGUGGUAAAGGAUGUGGGAUUGCACAGACAACCAGGAUGUUGGCUUAGAAGCAGCCACUCAUUCAAAGAGUGCGUAAUAGCUCACUGGUCGAGUGAUCCUGCGCCGAAGAUUUCCGGGGCUAAAACUUACUACCGAAGCUACGGCAUCAGUAAUGAUGGGUAGGGGAGCUUCCCAUACGGGUUGAAGCAUGACCGUAAGGACAUGUGGACAGUAUGGGAGUGAGAAUGUUGGCAUGAGUAGCGAGAUGUGGGUGAGAAUCCCACAGGCCGUAAACCCAAGGUUUCCAGGGGAAGGUUCGUCCGCCCUGGGUUAGUCGGGACCUAAGCUGAGGCCGAAAGGCGUAGGUGAUGGACAACAGGUUGAUAUUCCUGUACUACCGAUAACCGUUUGAGAGAAGGGAUGACACAGUAGGAUAAGCUAAGCACACUGUUGGUUAUGUGUGCCCAAGCAUUGAGGCAGUCAAAGUAGGCAAAUCCGCUUUGAUAAUGCUGGGAUGUGAUGGGGAGCGAAAUUUAGUAGCGAAGUAGCUGAUUUCACACUGUCAAGAAAAGUCUCUAUCGAGGUUAAAGGUACCCGUACCGCAAACCGACACAGGUGGGUGAGGAGAGUAUCCUAAGGCCAGCGAGAGAACUGUUGUUAAGGAACUCGGCAAAAUGACCCCGUAACUUAGGGAUAAGGGGUGCCACCAUCAGGUGGCCGCAGAGAAUAGGCCCAAGCGACUGUUUACCAAAAACAUAGGUUUCUGCUAAGUCGCAAGACGAUGUAUAGGAGCUGACGCCUGCCCGGUGCUGGAAGGUUAAGGGGAUCUGUUAGAGCAAUCGAAGCAGUGAACUUAAGCCCCAGUAAACGGCGGCCGUAACUAUAACGGUCCUAAGGUAGCGAAAUUCCUUGUCGGGUAAGUUCCGACCCGCACGAAAGGCGUAACGAUUUGGGCACUGUCUCAACAACAGACUCGGUGAAAUUGUAAUUCCGGUGAAGAUGCCGGAUACCUGCGACAGGACGGAAAGACCCCAUGGAGCUU
This 1683-nucleotide ribosomal RNA is filed under the name Clostridioides difficile. Its description in RNAcentral is "partial 23S ribosomal RNA". It matches the Rfam family "Bacterial large subunit ribosomal RNA", at positions 398 to 2101 of the family's 2925-position model. Lineage: Bacteria; Bacillati; Bacillota; Clostridia; Peptostreptococcales; Peptostreptococcaceae. The record is from RNAcentral.